Molecule: ribosomal RNA, 547 nt
Filed under: uncultured bacterium
Lineage: Bacteria
Description: bacterial SSU rRNA
Rfam family: Bacterial small subunit ribosomal RNA
Source: RNAcentral
UGGGGAAUAUUGCGCAAUGGGGGGAACCCUGACGCAGCCAUGCCGCGUGAAUGAAGAAGGCCUUCGGGUUGUAAAGUUCUUUCGGUAUUGAGGAAGGUUGAUGUGUUAAUAGCACAUCAAAUUGACGUUAAAUACAGAAGAAGCACCGGCUAACUCCGUGCCAGCAGCCGCGGUAAUACGGAGGGUGCGAGCGUUAAUCGGAAUUACUGGGCGUAAAGCGCGCGUAGGUGGUUAUUUAAGUCAGAUGUGAAAGCCCCGGGCUUAACCUGGGAACUGCAUCUGAUACUGGAUAACUAGAGUAGGUGAGAGGGGAGUAGAAUUCCAGGUGUAGCGGUGAAAUGCGUAGAGAUCUGGAGGAAUACCGAUGGCGAAGGCAGCUCCCUGGCAUCAUACUGACACUGAGGUGCGAAAGCGUGGGUAGCAAACAGGAUUAGAUACCCUGGUAGUCCACGCUGUAAACGCUGUCGAUUUGGGGGUUGGGGUUUAACUCUGGCGCCCGUAGCUAACGUGAUAAAUCGACCGCCUGGGGAGUACGGCCGCAAGGUUA